Molecule: ribosomal RNA, 249 nt
Filed under: uncultured bacterium
Lineage: Bacteria
Description: partial 16S ribosomal RNA
Rfam family: Bacterial small subunit ribosomal RNA
Source: RNAcentral
UACAGAGGGUGCGAGCGUUAAUCGGAAUUACUGGGCGUAAAGCGCGCGUAGGCGGCUUUGCAAGUCGGGUGUGAAAUCCCCAGGCUUAACCUGGGAACUGCAUUCGAGACUGCAUUGCUAGAGUAUGGGAGAGGGAAGUGGAAUUUCCGGUGUAGCGGUGAAAUGCGUAGAUAUCGGAAGGAACAUCAGUGGCGAAAGCGACUUCCUGGACCAAUACUGACGCUCAUGUGCGAAAGCGUGGGGAGCGAA